GCAAGCUGGUGGGCAGGUGUCGGGCAUUUGUCUGAGGAAGCUUCACCUCGCUUGUGGAGAAGUGGCGUCGUGAGACGCAAGGGGAGACCCUUAACCACGGUGCAGAAACGAUAUCCCUCCUGUCAAAUGUGUAUGAGAUGACGGCUGAAGCGAGGCUUUCGCUUGUCAUCGACGAUGGCAUGUGAGAGAGAGUGAAACGCCCGUUUCACUUGCGACAAGGCCAAGUAGAAGUUGAUGAGGUCCACACGAGACUCGGGUAGGCCGCAUAGCUGAAUCCUGCCUAGAACAGAAGGUGAGCUACGACCAGCAUGC
This 312-nucleotide RNase P RNA is filed under the name Candidatus Bathyarchaeota archaeon. RNAcentral's name for it is "RNase P RNA component". It matches the Rfam family "Archaeal RNase P". Rfam says of the family: Ribonuclease P (RNase P) is a ubiquitous endoribonuclease, found in archaea, bacteria and eukarya as well as chloroplasts and mitochondria. The record is from RNAcentral. Lineage: Archaea; Thermoproteati; Candidatus Bathyarchaeota.